RNAcentral lists this small RNA (270 nucleotides) under Arabidopsis thaliana (thale cress). Its description in RNAcentral is "ATSL297880". The record is from RNAcentral. Lineage: Eukaryota; Viridiplantae; Streptophyta; Magnoliopsida; Brassicales; Brassicaceae.
AUUAAUUUUAUUUAUGAUAUGACUUUGAUUUAUAAUCUAAACAUUUUAGCUAAUAACAUAGGAGUGCACUAUAUUUAUUUAAUAGGGGAAUGUACCAUAUGAUCCGAAUGCACUUUUACCCAAAUCCACCAAAAAAGUCUUGCAAAAAUACUAUAGAGAUAAGAAACGAUAGUCGGUUUUGAUAGGUAUAAGAUUAACAAAUAUAUUAGUUAGCUUAAAUUAGUUAAAAAAUACAAAUUGAAAAGGUAUAUUACACUUUAUUUGAAUAUA